GGCUCUGUAGCUCAGUUGGUAGAGCAGAGGCCUGAAGAGCCUUGUGUCGACGGUUCAAGUCCGCCCGGAGCCACCA
Molecule: transfer RNA, 76 nt
Filed under: Candidatus Saccharimonadota bacterium
Lineage: Bacteria; Candidatus Saccharimonadota
Also listed under: 2 other names
Description: tRNA-Phe
Rfam family: tRNA
About the family: Transfer RNA (tRNA) molecules are approximately 80 nucleotides in length.
Source: RNAcentral